Molecule: ribosomal RNA, 863 nt
Filed under: Lithasia armigera
Lineage: Eukaryota; Metazoa; Mollusca; Gastropoda; Pleuroceridae
Description: partial 16S ribosomal RNA
Rfam family: Bacterial large subunit ribosomal RNA
Source: RNAcentral
GUGUCGAUAAAAAAGCAGUUAUAAGAUACUGAUUAUUUUAUAAAAUCUUUUUUAAUUAAUUUUUUCGAGGAUAAGCUCGAAAAACAUAUUAAGGUAUUUACACCAUAAUAGUUAUUAUGUAGGCUUAAGAUUAGUCAUCAUGAGAGUUUGUUAUAAAACAAUAAUUAUACUAUCUAAAAUAAAUAUAUUUUAUUCUAAUUACUAACAGAAAUAAAGGUCAUAAUAAAUAAUGACCUUCCACCUAUGCUAGAAUGAGUAUUAAAACCAUAUAUGUGUAAACAGAAAAUAAUAUAUAAUUUUUCUACAAGAAGACAAUUAACUUAGGUAAAUUAAAUAGAAGGAACUCGGCAAAAUUAAUGCUUCCGCCUGUUUAUCAAAAACAUGGCUCUUUGAGUUAUUUAAAAUAAAGAGUCAGGCCUGCCCAGUGAAUAAAAUUUAACGGCCGCGGUACUCUGACCGUGCAAAGGUAGCAUAAUCAUUUGCCUUAUAAUUGAAGGCUAGUAUGAAUGGUUUAACGAAAGCAAUACUGUCUCCUAUUUAUUUUCAAGAACUUAACCUUUAGGUGAAGAGGCCUAAAUUUAAUUGAAGGACAAGAAGACCCUGUCGAGCUUAAAAGACACUAUGGAAGUUUAUAUAAUAUUAGAUAAAAUAACCAUUAAGCUUUUUAGUUGGGGCGACUAAGGAACAAAAAAAGCUUCUUAUAUAAAAUAGACAUACAGGUUUUGAUCCGGUAAUAGCCGAUCUAAGGAAUUAGUUACCGCAGGGAUAACAGCAUAAUCUCUCUUGAGAGACCUAAUCGAAAGAGGGGGUUGUGACCUCGAUGUUGGACUAGAAUGUCCUAAAGGUGCAGAAGUCUUUAAGGG